GAAAGAGGCUGCUGCAGAUGCUGCGGGACCUCUCUUCUCGGGCUUUAGUGGUUCUCGUUACGCUGUAAAACCGAACGGAAGAAAACCAAAUCGAGAUGACCCAAGGAAAAACCCAACCAAAGGAGAAAUGAGAGAAUAUUUCCGAUUUGAUUUAAACCAAGAGAUUGAGUAUGACGACACUGCACAAGAAUCCUCUGACGUACAAACCGAAGAAACCAGCUUCGCAACCCCUUGAGAAUUACUAUUUGUUGAGCGAAAAUUUUGAUGGGAGAAAACUUUCAGCAGACAAGAUGCUAUUUCAUUUCCACCCCUCCCAGUAAUAGACUCAUCCCAUAUGCACAUCUGUAUCAGACAAAUGAACCCUGAAGUUAAAACAGGAUCAACUGCCGAUUUUAAAACAUAUCCGAAUGAGUCAAAGUAGGAAUGAAUCUUCACUAUCAAUAUUUUCUGAGUUUGCGAUAUCGGUAUUCAUUGUGGAUUUUGCCUUUUCCACCUUACGACGGUGCAGUUCCAAUUUUUGCGCCUGUUAUUUCCUUUCUGGGUUGGUCAACGGAAUAGAUUUGAUCUUAUUUUGAUAAACACUUUGAACAUGUAUCUGACCUAGGGCGUCCGAAUUUGAGAUUUGGUAAGUCUUUUUUGACCACUAGUGAUUAAUACUUAUAAGUAACUACUGAAUUUGGAUUUUUUCCUUAUACGCCAAAAACAUGCAAUUGAGAUUUAAAUCUGGACGCAGGAAUUCUUUUAUCGAUGUGUGCCGGCUGUAGUGAUUUUGCUUUGGAUAUGAUCCCUAACUUGCUGCCGGAUUUCUGGCAAAUACUUUUUUAAUUUAGUUCUUUUACCACGUUUAUCUGUGUAAGUAGUUGCUCCUGAUUUCUUUUUUCCCACAAGUACUGUAACUACUUGUGGCUUAGCGCAAAUAUAUUAGAAAACGUUUUUUGCAAACCUAUACAUGCUCUCUACUACCCCUAGGAACCAUGUAAGCAAUCGUACAUUGGCGAUGACUUUCCUCUGGUGUAUCAUACCGUACCAUGUCUCCUGCGACUUAUGUUUAUAAUUUGAAUCAACCCCAAAAGAAAAGUACUCUGCUUAUCGUGAUUUGUAGCUGCAUAAUAUUGUUGAAAUAAUGGUUCUAUACAGAUAAGAAAUGGAAAAGAUAGUCAUUCAAACCCAACCAGCCAAGGUUAGAAAGAGGCUAUUUAAGAGAUAGGGUUGGGUUAAACAACACGAAGAAUCUCCCUAACAUCUCGAGUAUCCUGGUUUAUAAAAUACUCAUGCCAAAUGAUGUUAGGGUUUAAAAUGAAUCAAAAUCGUUUAAUUCCAAAAAGCUUAUGACAUAACGAGUUACGAAUCAUAGAUUGGCUCCAAUCCAUUAUGACCACUAGUUUAUUGUUUUUUCCAAAACGGUCUUAGCCCAGCUAAAUAAAGAGAACGUUAAUAGUAAGCGUCAACGUUAGUCAACUGUUGUUUUUAUGUCCGUUUUCGUGUAAAUCGAUUCUACAACUCGCGAUCGGUCGACUACGUGGUUAUUUAUAGACCGACAGCAGCGUCGUGACGCUCGCUAACGUCACGUUACGGCCCGUUUCGACACCGUCUCGCACACCAAAAAUGGUCAAUUUUCGAAACGUCAAAACCAAACUUUUUUUUUACUCGGAAAUUAACUCCUACCAUAUUUAGAACUGUCGCCUUUUUCACCUUCGUUAAGGUGUUUAUUUAUAAGAAAAAUCCUGAUUGAAAAUUGUUUUAAUUCAUUACCUAAGUCAUUCAGGUGUCUUUAAAAGAACCCACGCUAUUGGCCAAGUUCAUUUCGGGUAACCUUCACUUUAAGGUCCUUGCGUAGGGAGAAAUUUGCGCAAU
This is a non-coding RNA of Onthophagus taurus, 1854 nucleotides long. Lineage: Eukaryota; Metazoa; Arthropoda; Insecta; Coleoptera; Scarabaeidae. The record is from RefSeq and is a predicted model, not a curated record.